RNAcentral lists this small nuclear RNA (80 nucleotides) under Rhodnius prolixus. RNAcentral describes it as "U4 spliceosomal RNA". It matches the Rfam family "U4 spliceosomal RNA", at positions 1 to 79 of the family's 138-position model. From Rfam's summary of the family: U4 small nuclear RNA (U4 snRNA) is a component of the major U2-dependent spliceosome. The structure of U4 snRNA from yeast and human has been reported. The record is from Rfam by way of RNAcentral. Lineage: Eukaryota; Metazoa; Arthropoda; Insecta; Hemiptera; Reduviidae.
AACCUUGCGCAGUGGUAAUAAUCGUAAGCAAUGAAGGCCUCCUGAGGUACGAUUAUUGCUAGUUGAAAACUAGGCGCCAC